RNAcentral lists this ribosomal RNA (452 nucleotides) under uncultured bacterium. Its description in RNAcentral is "bacterial SSU rRNA". It matches the Rfam family "Bacterial small subunit ribosomal RNA", at positions 29 to 524 of the family's 1533-position model. The record is from RNAcentral.
AACGAACGCUGGCGGCAGGCCUAACACAUGCAAGUCGAGCGGGGACUUCGGUCCUAGCGGCGGACGGGUGAGUAACGCGUGGGAACGUGCCCUUUGCUUCGGAAUAGCCCCCUGGAAACGGGGGAGUAAUACCGGAUGUGCCCUUUGGGGGAAAGAUUUAUCGGCAAAGGAUCGGCCCGCGUUGGAUUAGGUAGUUGGUGGGGUAAUGGCCUACCAAGCCGACGAUCCAUAGCUGGUUUGAGAGGAUGAUCAGCCACACUGGGACUGAGACACGGCCCAGACUCCUACGGGAGGCAGCAGUGGGGAAUCUUAGACAAUGGGCGCAAGCCUGAUCUAGUCAUGCCGCGUGAGCGAUGAAGGCCUUAGGGUUGUAAAGCUCUUUCGUGGGGGAAGAUAAUGACGGUACCCCAAGAAUAAGCCCCGGCUAACUUCGUGCCAGCAGCCGCGGUAAU